RNAcentral lists this ribosomal RNA (552 nucleotides) under uncultured Ascomycota. RNAcentral's name for it is "LSU rRNA". It matches the Rfam family "Eukaryotic large subunit ribosomal RNA", at positions 399 to 971 of the family's 3401-position model. The record is from RNAcentral. Lineage: Eukaryota; Fungi; Ascomycota.
GUGAAAUUGUUGAAAGGGAAGCGCUUGCAACCAGACCUGCCUGCAGUUGCUCAUCCGGGCUUUUGCCCGGUGCACUCUUCUGCUGUCAGGCCAGCAUCAGUUCGGGCGGUCGGAUAAAGGCUUCGGGAAUGUAGCUCCUCUCGAGGAGUGUUAUAGCCCGUUGCGAAAUGCGGCCAGCCUGAACUGAGGUCCGCGCUUCGGCUAGGAUGCUGGCGUAAUGGUUGUAAGCGGCCCGUCUUGAAACACGGACCAAGGAGUCUAACAUCUGUGCGAGUGUUUGGGUGUCAAACCCGUACGCGUAAUGAAAGUGAACGGAGGCGGGAACCCCUCGGGGUGCACCGUCGACCGAUCCUGAUGUCUUCGGAUGGAUUUGAGUAAGAGCAUAGCUGUUGGGACCCGAAAGAUGGUGAACUAUGCCUGAAUAGGGUGAAGCCAGAGGAAACUCUGGUGGAGGCUCGCAGCGGUUCUGACGUGCAAAUCGAUCGUCAAAUUUGGGCAUAGGGGCGAAAGACUAAUCGAACUAUCUAGUAGCUGGUUCCUGCCGAAGUUUCC